GCUGUGGCUUGGGGAGGCUGGGCCCUCAGGAAGGGGGCCUGAUUCCAGCCAUAGCACAAGCUCACUCUGACCCAGGGCUGCCUCUUCCGUUCACCCUUAUCCCAGCCAGGGAUCCCACUGUCCCUGACUAGCCAUAUAAGGCUGUGUUCUGAGCUGCUCUUCUCCCCCUUCCCACAGACUGAGAGAGGCCCCAGCAGGCCCUUCCCGUCACAGUCCUGAAAUUCUCCCCUUAGAAAGGCAUGCCACUGGGCUGAGCUUCCAGAAGAACGUCUGCCCCAGGAGAGGAGCUACCUCAGGAGAGGAGACCCCUGAGAGCCAGAGGUCAGCUUCAGGGAGCCUCUGAGCAGUGGCCCCAGGAGCUGGGCCACCCGUCCUCGGCCACAGCGGGCACUCAGUACUUGGGAGAGGUCUCUGGAUGGGGAGUCAGACCUACCAUGGGGCUCCACUGCCAGUUUCCCCCAGUGACCCGGAGCAAAGGGCCCGGUUCCCCUGUCCACACGUCAAUGUGAUCUGGAGGAAACUCGGCAAACCUCUUACCGCGGGCUGCCUGCUGACGCCGUCCUGGCAGUAGAUGACUGAGGAAAUGGCCAUUUCCAGGCUUCUGUGCUCUGCACAGAGGAGAGGGAACCAGCGGGCCUCAGGAAAGUGCUAGCACCACCCCCAGAAGGUGGGCUGAUGAGGUGAGGAAAACAGCAGGCGGGGUAGCUCCCAGGGCCGGCUGUGGCUCCCAGACGUGCAGAGGCAGGACUGCCUCCCUCCUUCCUCCCUCCGGCCCAUGGAUUUGCUCCUUCUCUGCUGCCCUGGUCUCCUUACCAUGUCGGGCACAGGGUCAGUAGCCUCUUUCAGGGCCCUGGUGCACAUCUAGAUCAGCUGAGGUCAACAGGGCACUGUCCCCGAACAGCUCCCAGCCUGAGGGAAGACAGGCAUCAUCUGAAAUGCGGGGCCCAUCUGACACUCAGCGUCGUCAGUGACCAAACCAGGAGCAUGGUGGCUGGGGCUUGGUGUCUAAGGGCCCAGCCAGAGCAGGGGGAUCCGUCUCUCAGGCAUGUUCAGCGGCAGCUUGGAGACGACGCCAAGGCUGCUGAUCCAGAGCUUCUCCUUAGGGAAGGGCACCCUCUCUCGGACAGGACAGGGCUGUGUCACUGAGAUUCUGCAGCCCGCUGGGGACAGCCUUCUGGAGCUGAGACCUGCUCCCACGCCUUCCUGGGCCCCUCAGGAGCCACAGGAUCUGGGCUGUCCCUAAGGCUGUGAGGGCCCCCUAGUCACUGCCUCCCCUGUCCUCUGAGGCCUGCUUCUUGGUGGGCACCAAGGGGUGGGGGGUGGGCCAUACCUCCCAGCUAACAUCUGAGGUCUCUCCUGAUCCAGUUGGGAGUGGUGGUGCCAGGUGAGGAGAGAAUUCUGUACAGUCACUAGGAUUUGCUGCUUUAUUUUGAUUUUCUGAAAAAGAUGUCUGUCCUGAGCCCCUCUUGCCCCAAGGCCCCAAACAGUUUUGCAUAGGAACACAACCCUAGCAGCCCUGAGAUGAGCCAUUCCACUGAGAGGGUCUGCAGACCCCGCAUGGUGGCCUUUGGUCUCAUUUCUCUAAUACCACUUAAGGUCCUGGUCAUGACCUUCCUAUCCUAAAAAAACACUGUCUUGGGAGAACAAGCUGAGUUAAAACCAGGUUAAUUAUAUACUGUAUGCGUGACCUUGGGCAAGUUACUUAAUACCUAGCUUCUGUACUACAUCACUAAAAUGGAAAGUAUCUCACCAGCCAUAAGAGAGACACAAGACAUUAGCUUCCCCUGGACACCUAAGGGUUAAGAUCGUGAAUUCUAAGAAACAUGGAGUCUUCCUAUUUCUACCUUGUUCUGAGAUCAUGCAUUAUAAAAUGGUUUUCAUUCACCUUUGGUUCCUACAGCCACCAGGUGAUACUGGGGGACCCCAGCUCAGAUGGUCUUACUGAUGAAGAAACCAAGUGACAGAGUCGUUGAGGUGUGGGCAUCUAAUUUCUCCAGCUGCAAACCAGGUGAUCAUUAAUAAAAUAAAUAGGCAGUUUGUCUUUUUUUUUUAAAUAAAAGGUAUAAUUAUUAUCAACAUAGAAAGGGAGGGCUAGAGAUCACAUAAUAUUUCAAUCAGAAAGAAGCAAAGCCGGGAUUGAAGAGCAGAUACCCUCCUAGGUAUUUUGUUUUCAUUUAAUUUUUAACGGUUUAGAGUGGUUAUUACCCCCACUGAUGGGAUAAACAGAAAUGGUCAGAGAAUUUGCAUAGGAACACAAUCCUCAGCCCUGAGAUUAGCCAUUCCACUGAGAAGCUCUGCUCAAUCUUUAUAUAAUUUAGUGGUAGAGCCUAGACCGCCUCUUGGGACUGUUGUUCUCCAAAGCCCAUGACUUUUCACGACAGGCUGCCGUAGUCUGAGGACUUCGAACCACAGCAGAGAUACAGAAGGGUGCUUAACUAGAAUUUAGGAUCCCCAGGUUCCAAUCCCUCUUCUACCAUCAAGUUGGGUCAGUUACCUGACCUCUGCAAGUCUUGGCCAAGUCAUCCUGCCCUGUCUUGGGAUGGCUGUAAAGAAUGUGCAAUGUGGUGGGUUAAAGGGUGGUCAGGUGCUGAGAGAGCAAUACACGGUCUUCCAAGAGAGAGCGAAGAACCUAUUCCUUCUCCUUACACGGCAGCAGCAGAGAACUGAGCGCUCUCCCGGAGCUCCAGUCCCCUGCACCUGUGCUGACAUCGCUUUCUGUAUGUACAUUCUUGGGUUUCAAGGACAGGGGAAGACUAGGGAACAGAGUUCACUGGCAGGGCUGGAGAAAAUGCCAGGUCUGAUCUGAGAAAGGUCUCCUGUGUUCCCAGACCUGGAAAAACAAGAAUUCCCCCAUCCCAGGCUUCUGCCAAGAUCUGUGAGGAAAAAUCAAGGGCCUCCCAAGAAAUUAUUUUUCCCUGUUCUAGAAAAUGCUUUCACCCCUCAGAAAAAUUGAAAAGGAGUACAGCCAUGUGCCCAGCAGUGGUCUUGCCUUGGGUAAAAUGGUUCCUUCAUUGUGUGAAAGUUCUGCUGGCUUAGACUCCUAGCAUGGCAUCAUCUGGAGUUUGGUUUGAUGAUAUAUGAGGGGCAAGAAUAAGCCCAACAUUACCUAUGCAAGAUGGUACAAAGAACCCACAGGGUUUCCAAGGGGGACACUGGACACAGGCAUGGGAACCCAGCAUAGGUCAAAUCUGAGAUCCUGAGAUUUAGAAAUCAUGUGGGGCCCCUUUCCUCACUCAGCUAGGGACCCUGAAAUAAGAAAACCUGUUUUUGUGAAAUCUGGGCCCUGCAUUUCCAAAAGAAACACAAAUGGCUAACAGGGUUGGGAAUGUGAUGGUUUACUUUAACAAUAUAUACAUUUUUAUGCAUUGAAUUAGCAAGGCUUUCCCCCCCCCACCCCCAUGGCAUUAGAAAUUAGGAUAGUGGUUUCCCUGUGGAGGGAGUAAGGAUGGUUGGUCACUGGAAGGGGGCAUGAUGGUAAUUUCUGAGGUGCUGGAAAUGUCCUGGUGAGUUGGCAGUGUUUACACUGUGAAAAUAUAUCAAGCUACAUAUUAACGAUGUACGCAAUUUUCUUUUUUUUUUUCCCACGCAAGAGAUUUUAUUAUCUGAAAGAGAGAGUGGCUACCCCAGAUG
Molecule: non-coding RNA, 3630 nt
Organism: Manis javanica (Malayan pangolin)
Lineage: Eukaryota; Metazoa; Chordata; Mammalia; Pholidota; Manidae
Source: RefSeq, a predicted model, not a curated record